GGGGGGUGCUAAUACAUGCAAGUCGAGCGAAUGGAUUAAGAGCUUGCUCUUAUGAAGUUAGCGGCGGACGGGUGAGUAACACGUGGGUAACCUGGCCAUAAGAUUGGGAUAACUCCGGGAAACCGGGGCUAAAACCGAAUAACUUUUUGUUCUGCAUGGUUCGUUAUUGAAAGGCGGCUUCGGCUGUCACUUAUGGAUGGACCCGCGUCGCAUUAGCUAGUUGGUGAGGUAACGGCUCACCAAGGCAACGAUGCGUAGCCGACCUGAGAGGGUGAUCGGCCACACUGGGACUGAGACACGGCCCAGACUCCUACGGGAGGCAGCAGUAGGGAAUCUUCCGCAAUGGACGAAAGUCUGACGGAGCAACGCCGCGUGAGUGAUGAAGGCUUUCGGGUCGUAAAACUCUGUUGUUAGGGAAGAACAAGUGCUAGUUGAAUAAGCUGGCACCUUGACGGUACCUAACCAAAAAGCCACGGCUAACUACGUGCCAGCAGCCGCGGUAAUACGUAGGUGGCAAGCGUUAUCCGGAAUUAUUGGGCGUAAAGCGCGCGCAGGUGGUUUCUUAAGUCUGAUGUGAAAGCCCACGGCUCAACCGUGGAGGGUCAUUGGAAACUGGGAGACUUGAGUGCAGAAGAGGAAAGUGGAACUCCAUGUGUAGCGGUGAAAUGCGUAGAGAUAUGGAGGAACACCAGUGGCGAAGGCGACUUUCUGGUCUGUAACUGACACUGAGGCGCGAAAGCGUGAGGGAGCAAACAGGAUUAAAUACCUUGGUAGUCCACGCCGUAAACGAUGAGUGCUGAUUGUUAGAGGUUUCCGCCCCUUUAGUGCUGAAGUAACUUAUCAAUCACUCCGCCUGCGGAGUACGGCCGCAGGCUGAUACUCAAAGGAAUUGAACGGCGCCCCGCACCAGCGGAGGAACAGGUGUUUAUUUCUAAUCAUGACGAAGAAACUUUACCAUGUCUGGGCUUCUAUGAAAAACCUAAGAGAUAUGUUUUCUUCUUCACAGCAAGAGGACAGGUUGUUUGCUUGGUUGUCUAUCUGUCUCCUCGUCCUAGAAGAUCGUUAGUGUUUAAGUCUCCAAAAACGUCCGCACACCUUGGACCC
Molecule: ribosomal RNA, 1104 nt
Filed under: Bacillus thuringiensis
Lineage: Bacteria; Bacillati; Bacillota; Bacilli; Caryophanales; Bacillaceae
Description: bacterial SSU rRNA
Rfam family: Bacterial small subunit ribosomal RNA
Source: RNAcentral